GCUGUCGUGGCCUAGUGGUUAAGGCGCCGGGCGUCCACUGUGGAGGUCGUGGGUUCGAACCCCACAGGCGGCG
Catenaria anguillulae PL171 is the source of this 73-nucleotide transfer RNA. It matches the Rfam family "tRNA". Rfam says of the family: Transfer RNA (tRNA) molecules are approximately 80 nucleotides in length. Their secondary structure includes four short double-helical elements and three loops (D, anti-codon, and T loops). Further hydrogen bonds mediate the characteristic L-shaped molecular structure. tRNAs have two regions of fundamental functional importance: the anti-codon, which is responsible for specific mRNA codon recognition, and the 3' end, to which the tRNAs corresponding amino acid is attached (by aminoacyl-tRNA synthetases). tRNAs cope with the degeneracy of the genetic code in two manners: having more than one tRNA (with a specific anti-codon) for a particular amino acid; and 'wobble' base-pairing, i.e. permitting non-standard base-pairing at the 3rd anti-codon position. The record is from Rfam. Lineage: Eukaryota; Fungi; Blastocladiomycota; Blastocladiomycetes; Blastocladiales; Catenariaceae.